This 446-nucleotide ribosomal RNA is filed under the name uncultured bacterium. RNAcentral describes it as "bacterial SSU rRNA". It matches the Rfam family "Bacterial small subunit ribosomal RNA", at positions 330 to 792 of the family's 1533-position model. The record is from RNAcentral.
UCCAGACUCCUACGGGAGGCAGCAGUGGGGAAUAUUGCACAAUGGGGGGAACCCUGAUGCAGCGACGCCGCGUGAGUGAAGAAGUAUUUCGGUAUGUAAAGCUCUGUCAGCAGGGAAGAAGAAAGACGGUACCUGACCAAGAAGCCCCGGCUAACUACGUGCCAGCAGCCGCGGUAAUACGUAGGGGGCAAGCGUUAUCCGGAUUUACUGGGUGUAAAGGGAGCGUAGACGGCAGGGCAAGUCUGGAGUGAAAGGCAGGGGCCCAACCCCUGGACUGCUCUGGAAACUGUCCGGCUGGAGUGCAGGAGAGGUAAGUGGAAUUCCUAGUGUAGCGGUGAAAUGCGUAGAUAUUAGGAGGAACACCAGUGGCGAAGGCGACUUUCUGGACUGUACCUGACGCUGAGGCGCGAAAGCGUGGGUAGCGAACGGGAUUAGAUACCCCAGUA